This 76-nucleotide transfer RNA is filed under the name Rhodospirillales bacterium. RNAcentral describes it as "tRNA-Lys". It matches the Rfam family "tRNA". Rfam says of the family: Transfer RNA (tRNA) molecules are approximately 80 nucleotides in length. Their secondary structure includes four short double-helical elements and three loops (D, anti-codon, and T loops). Lineage: Bacteria; Pseudomonadati; Pseudomonadota; Alphaproteobacteria; Rhodospirillales. The record is from RNAcentral.
GGGUGCUUAGCUCAGGUGGUAGAGCAGCUGCCUUUUAAGCAGCGGGUCAUAGGUUCGAGUCCUAUAGCACCCACCA